UGUCUCUUUAAAUCUACUGAGGAAGAUAUUCCUUUGGCCCACAGGAUGCCAAAAUGACUUGAUGAUUUAUUUAUGCAGCGCUUGGCAGCCCAUAGUCCAGAUUGUGGCUGGAGCUGAAUUUUAUGAGCCUUCCCCUAGAAGUAACGAGAGCCCAGGGGACUGUAGUAAAAAAGACAAACACUGCCCCUUCUUUCCUGAAACAGACAUCUCAGAAGAGGGAGAUGGAUGAGAAACAGGAUGGCUAAUUUCUGGGUUAUUCUGGGUCAGAGUUCCACUGGAGCCAGGAGUCCUAAGCAGAGAGAAAAGGACCUGAGAUAACCAAAAAGAGAUUUCAAAGAAGAUGUGGAAGUGUACCCCAGGAGCUGGAAAGAGUGUAAAGUCAACUGAAGGCCCGUGGACUAGCAGAGGGGAAGCAAGUGUGGUGGCUGAUGUGCAUCAUCCUGGACUAGACUACAGAGCAUGCCGGGAGCAGAGGGCUUGCAUCAGGAGGCCAUGGGAAGCACAUGUUUGCUGCAGU
Molecule: long non-coding RNA, 517 nt
Organism: Ictidomys tridecemlineatus (thirteen-lined ground squirrel)
Lineage: Eukaryota; Metazoa; Chordata; Mammalia; Rodentia; Sciuridae
Source: RefSeq, a predicted model, not a curated record